Molecule: ribosomal RNA, 447 nt
Filed under: uncultured bacterium
Lineage: Bacteria
Description: partial 16S ribosomal RNA
Rfam family: Bacterial small subunit ribosomal RNA
Source: RNAcentral
GCCCAGACUCCUACGGGAGGCAGCAGUAGGGAAUCUUUCACAAUGGGCGAAAGCCUGAUGGAGCAACGCCGCGUGCAGGAUGAAGGCCUUCGGGUUGUAAACUGCUUUUAUAAGCGAGAAAUAUGAUGGUAACUUAUGAAUAAGGAUCGGCUAACUCCGUGCCAGCAGCCGCGGUAAUACGGAGGAUGCGAGCGUUAUCCGGAUUUAUUGGGUUUAAAGGGUGCGCAGGCGGAUUUUUAAGUCAGCGGUCAAAUCGUGGGGCUCAACCCCAUCCAGCCGUUGAAACUGGGGAUCUAGAGUGUGCGAGAGGUAUGCGGAAUGCGUGGUGUAGCGGUGAAAUGCAUAGAUAUCGCGCAGAACCCCGAUUGCGAAGGCAGCGUGCCGUGCCGCCACUGACGCUGAGGCACGAAAGCGCGGGGAUCGAACAGGAUUAGAUACCCUUGUAAG